This 679-nucleotide ribosomal RNA is filed under the name uncultured Staphylococcus sp. RNAcentral's name for it is "bacterial SSU rRNA". It matches the Rfam family "Bacterial small subunit ribosomal RNA", at positions 70 to 735 of the family's 1533-position model. Lineage: Bacteria; Bacillati; Bacillota; Bacilli; Caryophanales; Staphylococcaceae. The record is from RNAcentral.
GACGAGGAGCUUGCUCCUCUGACGUUAGCGGCGGACGGGUGAGUAACACGUGGAUAACCUACCUAUAAGACUGGGAUAACUUCGGGAAACCGGAGCUAAUACCGGAUAAUAUAUUGAACCGCAUGGUUCAAUAGUGAAAGACGGUUUUGCUGUCACUUAUAGAUGGAUCCGCGCCGCAUUAGCUAGUUGGUAAGGUAACGGCUUACCAAGGCAACGAUGCGUAGCCGACCUGAGAGGGUGAUCGGCCACACUGGAACUGAGACACGGUCCAGACUCCUACGGGAGGCAGCAGUAGGGAAUCUUCCGCAAUGGGCGAAAGCCUGACGGAGCAACGCCGCGUGAGUGAUGAAGGUCUUCGGAUCGUCAAACUCUGUUAUUAGGGAAGAACAAAUGUGUAAGUAACUAUGCACGUCUUGACGGUACCUAAUCAGAAAGCCACGGCUAACUACGUGCCAGCAGCCGCGGUAAUACGUAGGUGGCAAGCGUUAUCCGGAAUUAUUGGGCGUAAAGCGCGCGUAGGCGGUUUUUAAGUCUGAUGUGAAAGCCCACGGCUCAACCGUGGAGGGUCAUUGGAAACUGGAAAACUUGAGUGCAGAAGAGGAAAGUGGAAUUCCAUGUGUAGCGGUGAAAUGCGCAGAGAUAUGGAGGAGCACCAGUGGCGAAGGCGACUUUCUGGCCU